UAAAAUUUUACCUCUACCCAAAGGGUUUUCAGAUAAGCCUGAGAAUUGAAUUAACAUGUUAUAAAUUACCAGGAGAAAAGUAUUUACAUGGGAAUCUCAAGGAGAAAAGGAAGGCUCAAAGUGUUUAUAUACUUGAUUAAACAAAGAUAUCCUUUUGGAAGAGUACUGAAAGCUAUGGGGAGAAUAAUUGGAGAGAAACGUGAUUAGUCAGCAAAUCAAGAAUAACUCCAAGAGGACCAGCUAAUCAUCAACCAGUUACGGAAGAUGACCUGUCAGAUCUGUAUUUUCUACCUCAGAAGAGAUCAAACAUGGACAGAGGAUAUAUAAUUUGCAGAUCAUUGAAUGUAACCAGAAAAUAACGACGACAAGUUUAGAAACAUUGCUCUACAGUCACAUACUAGGUAUGGAUGCUGCUUAAUCCCGGGAGUGUAACCAGCUUUAAUUGAAAAAUUUGGGUCUACUAGCAUA
Molecule: long non-coding RNA, 468 nt
Organism: Chinchilla lanigera (long-tailed chinchilla)
Lineage: Eukaryota; Metazoa; Chordata; Mammalia; Rodentia; Chinchillidae
Exons: 3
Source: RefSeq, a predicted model, not a curated record